UGGGGAAUUUUGCGCAAUGGGGGAAACCCUGACGCAGCAACGCCGCGUGGAGGAUGAAAUCCCUUGGGAUGUAAACUCCUUUCGAUAGGGAAGAUAAUGACGGUACCUAUAGAAGAAGCCCCGGCUAACUUCGUGCCAGCAGCCGCGGUAAUACGAGGGGGGCAAGCGUUGUUCGGAAUUAUUGGGCGUAAAGGGUGCGUAGGCGGUUUGACAAGUCUUAUGUGAAAUCUUCGGGCUCAACCCGAAGUCUGCAUGGGAAACUGUCGGGCUUGAGUAUGGGAGAGGUGAGUGGAAUUUCCGGUGUAGCGGUGAAAUGCGUAGAUAUCGGAAGGAACACCUGUGGCGAAAGCGGCUCACUGGACCAUAACUGACGCUGAUGCACGAAAGCUAGGGGAGCAAACAGGAUUAGAUACCCCCGUAGUCC
This 424-nucleotide ribosomal RNA is filed under the name uncultured bacterium. Its description in RNAcentral is "bacterial SSU rRNA". It matches the Rfam family "Bacterial small subunit ribosomal RNA", at positions 355 to 796 of the family's 1533-position model. The record is from RNAcentral.